UCAAGAGGAAUUCAGUAGAAGGUCGACCGACAGUGGAGUUCGGAUGGCAUUAUGGAGGUUCGUCCGUUGGAGGAGUCUUGGGAUACUGUGGAAGGUCGAACAUUGGAGGAGUUCGGGAUUCAAUUCUGUUGUAGAAGUUCGGAUGGAGUCUGGCUCUUGUUGGAGUCUGAAAAGAGGCUGCUUAUUGUAGAAGCUCGGACGA
RNAcentral lists this long non-coding RNA (202 nucleotides) under Elaeis guineensis (African oil palm). RNAcentral's name for it is "long non-coding RNA (EGUI_LNC070219)". Lineage: Eukaryota; Viridiplantae; Streptophyta; Magnoliopsida; Arecales; Arecaceae. The record is from RNAcentral.